This is a long non-coding RNA of Oncorhynchus gorbuscha (pink salmon), 232 nucleotides long. RefSeq lists it as uncharacterized. The record is from RefSeq and is a predicted model, not a curated record. Lineage: Eukaryota; Metazoa; Chordata; Actinopteri; Salmoniformes; Salmonidae. The transcript is spliced from 3 exons.
CAGCCACCUGAAAAUGUCCACCAGGAAACUGGUGGUGAAGGUGCUGAAGGACAGUGGAGUGUUUGAGUACACCUGGUCUGAGCUGGAGCUGUGGCUGAAACACCUGGACAGACUACAGACAGAGCAGCAGGACACGGUUAUACACUUCCUGGAGAGGGUGCUCAUGUGUCUGGUGUGUAACCCCUACACCUACACAGACAAGGUGGCCAGUCUUGUCCAGGAGGCAGCCUAC